AUUGAACGCUGGCGGAAUGCUUUACACAUGCAAGUCGAACGGUAACAGGUCUUCGGAUGCUGACGAGUGGCGAACGGGUGAGUAAUAUAUCGGAACGUGCCCAGUCGUGGGGGAUAACGUAGCGAAAGUUACGCUAAUACCGCAUACGAUCUAUAGAUGAAAGCGGGGGAUCGCAAGACCUCGCGCGAUUGGAGCGGCCGAUAUCAGAUUAGGUAGUUGGUGGGGUAAGGGCUCACCAAGCCAACGAUCUGUAGCUGGUCUGAGAGGACGACCAGCCACACUGGAACUGAGACACGGUCCAGACUCCUACGGGAGGCAGCAGUGGGGAAUUUUGGACAAUGGACGCAAGUCUGAUCCAGCCAUUCCGCGUGCAGGAUGAAGGCCCUCGGGUUGUAAACUGCUUUUGUACGGAACGAAAAGGUCUCUCCUAAUACGAGGGGCUCAUGACGGUACCGUAAGAAUAAGCACCGGCUAACUACGUGCCAGCAGCCGCCGUAA
Molecule: ribosomal RNA, 498 nt
Filed under: uncultured bacterium
Lineage: Bacteria
Description: partial 16S ribosomal RNA
Rfam family: Bacterial small subunit ribosomal RNA
Source: RNAcentral